This 487-nucleotide ribosomal RNA is filed under the name uncultured bacterium. Its description in RNAcentral is "partial 16S ribosomal RNA". It matches the Rfam family "Bacterial small subunit ribosomal RNA", at positions 28 to 507 of the family's 1533-position model. The record is from RNAcentral.
GAUGAACGCUAGCGAUAGGCUUAACACAUGCAAGUCGAGGGGCAGCACAAGGUAGCUUGCUAUCUGGGUGGCGACCGGCGCACGGGUGCGUAACGCGUAUGCAACUUGCCCUAUACAGGAGGAUAACCCGUCGAAAGACGGACUAAUACUGCGUAUGCUCACAACUUGGCAUCCAGUGGUGAGGAAAGAAAUUCGGUAUAGGAUAGGCAUGCGUCCCAUUAGCUUGUUGGUGAGGUAACGGCUCACCAAGGCAACGAUGGGUAGGGGAACUGAGAGGUUUAUCCCCCACACUGGUACUGAGACACGGACCAGACUCCUACGGGAGGCAGCAGUGAGGAAUAUUGGUCAAUGGGCGCGAGCCUGAACCAGCCAAGUCGCGUGAAGGAUGACUGUCCUAUGGAUUGUAAACUUCUUUUAUACGGGAAUAACAAGAGUCACGUGUGACUCCCUGCAUGUACCGUAUGAAUAAGCAUCGGCUAACUCCGUG